RNAcentral lists this ribosomal RNA (309 nucleotides) under Zeus faber (John dory). Its description in RNAcentral is "eukaryotic LSU rRNA". It matches the Rfam family "Eukaryotic large subunit ribosomal RNA", at positions 58 to 353 of the family's 3401-position model. The record is from RNAcentral. Lineage: Eukaryota; Metazoa; Chordata; Actinopteri; Zeiformes; Zeidae.
AAAGAAACUAACCAGGAUUCCCUCAGUAGCGGCGAGCGAAGAGGGAAGAGCCCAGCGCCGAAUCCCCGCCCGCCCAGCCGGGCGCGGGAAAUGUGGCGUACGGAAGAUCGUUUUCCCGGUGUCGGCGUGGGGGCCUGAGUCCUUCUGAUCGAGGCUCACCCCGCGGACGGUGUGAGGCCGGUAACGGCCCUCGUCGCGCCGGGGCGCGGUCUUCCCGGAGUCGGGUUGCUUGGGAAUGCAGCCCAAAGCGGGUGGUAAACUCCAUCUAAGGCUAAAUACUGGCACGAGACCGAUAGUCGACAAGUACCG